UGAUCUUUCAUUUUGAACUCCCGGAAAAAGGGGACGGUUGGAGACCGCGGCUGAAACCUCGCCCGGUGCGCCGGCUCAGCCCGGAGACCGUGCUAUCUUGAGUGGCUGUUACCGGCAUCCAGAGAUCGGCUACUAACCUGGAAACAAGGGAUCUCUGAAAGGGCGAGGGCUACGCCCUCCAUCUUGCCCCGAAUCCUCCAUUUUGGGGCAGAGCCCUGUGCUCAGCAAGGCUUCUUCCCGGAAGCCCAAGCCUCUGCUAGCCACACCCACGACUUCUCUAAACUAACCAAUGACAAUCGUGGGAAGUGCACGCCAUAGAUAUGACCACAUCCUGUGUAAUGAGACACCGACUUGCGCCUGGCCAAUCGGCAAGGCCCACAGUCCCCUCUGCUCCCCUUACUCCACUCCCCCUAUAAAACUCUUCCGCACCGGGCUAGCCCUCUCUCUGCCACCUGCUGCUGUGUCAGUAAGGAGGGUAGGGGAGCCAGCCCCGGGUUUGUAAUAAUAAAGACUCUCUGCUUUUGCAUCGGCCUCGGCUGGAUCCUGAAAUCUGGGCAUAACAAUCUCAAGCAGCGCGACUGACUGCGUGAACUCAGAGGAGCACUGCUUCUUCUCACGGAAAGCCCAGCGAUGAACGGCUCAAAUUCUGGAAACAUUGGAACCCUCAGCACUAUGCCAGCAGCAGCACCUACUUCCAGCACUGGCGUUCGGGAAGGCUGGCAUGAACAUGUCACCCAGGACAUGCGGAGCCACCUAGUGCAUGAACUUGUCCAAGCCAUCUUCCCAAUACCUGACCCUGCAGCCCUGGAGGAUCCCCGCAUGGAGAACCUAGUGGCCUACGCUAAGAAAGUAGAAGGGGACAUGUAUGAGUCUGCCAACAGCCGGGAUGAAUACUAUAGCUUAUUAGAAGAGAAAAUCUAUAAGAUAAAAAAAGAACUAGAAGAAAAUCGGAGGUUGCGUUUUGGCAUCUUGGGUAACCAGCCAGCCUUACCAGCUGCCGGGGCAUAGCCUCCUGGGAUACCACGGUCACAACCUGUGAGACCUCCAGGGACAGGUGUCUGGUGCUGCUCUUCCUAACCUUCCGAACAUGCUUGGGUCCCAGCUGCCUUGUCCACCAGAGACACAAUCACCUCUGCACCAGACACCGCCUCCUGCUUCCACAGCCGCUGCCUGCCACCUCUACAGCAUCCAACAGCACCUGUGAUGACUCCUCCCCCGCCUGCAGCUCCCCCUCAGCCACCGACUCCUGUGUCGUCUUCCGGGCAGACUCCUACCCCAACUCCUGGCUCCGUAUCUUAGUUCUUGUAAAUAAUUCUGCAGGGAGCAUACAGGGGCAUAUACUUUUUCAAAUUAGUGUUUAUAAUUUCUUCAAAUAAAUACCCAGAAGUGGAAUGGCUGGA
This is a long non-coding RNA of Myotis daubentonii (Daubenton's bat), 1400 nucleotides long. RefSeq lists it as uncharacterized. The record is from RefSeq and is a predicted model, not a curated record. The transcript has 6 exons. NCBI's taxonomy places the organism in Eukaryota, Metazoa, Chordata, Mammalia, Chiroptera, Vespertilionidae.